AUGCACGCUGGCGGCGUGCCUAAUACAUGCAAGUCGCGCGAACAGACGAGGAGCUUGCUCCUCUGACGUUAGCGGCGGACGGGUGAGUAACACGUGGAUAACCUACCUAUAAGACUGGGAUAACUUCGGGAAACCGGAGCUAAUACCGGAUAAUAUAUUGAACCGCAUGGUUCAAUAGUGAAAGACGGUUUUGCUGUCACUUAUAGAUGGAUCCGCGCCGCAUUAGCUAGUUGGUAAGGUAACGGCUUACCAAGGCAACGAUGCGUAGCCGACCUGAGAGGGUGAUCGGCCACACUGGAACUGAGACACGGUCCAGACUCCUACGGGAGGCAGCAGUAGGGAAUCUUCCGCAAUGGGCGAAAGCCUGACGGAGCAACGCCGCGUGAGUGAUAAAGGUCUUCGGAUCGUAAAACUCUGUUAUUAGGGAAGAACAAAUGUGUAAGUAACUAUGCACGUCUUGACGGUACCUAAUCAGAAAGCCACGGCUAACUACGUG
Molecule: ribosomal RNA, 496 nt
Filed under: uncultured bacterium
Lineage: Bacteria
Description: partial 16S ribosomal RNA
Rfam family: Bacterial small subunit ribosomal RNA
Source: RNAcentral